GACGAACGCUGGCGGCGUGCUUAACACAUGCAAGUCGAACGGUGAAGCGCCUUCCUUUUUGGUGGGUGUGGAUGAGUGGCGAACGGGUGAGUAACACGUGAGUAACCUGCCCCCUUCUUCUGGAUAACCGCAUGAAAGUGUGGCUAAUACGGGAUAUUCUGGGUCUGUCGCAUGAUGGGUCUGGGAAAGAUAUUGUUUCGGUGGGGGAUGGGCUCGCGGCCUAUCAGCUUGUUGGUGGGGUGAUGGCCUACCAAGGCGGUGACGGGUAGCCGGCCUGAGAGGGUGGGCGGCCACACUGGGGCUGAGACACCGACCAGCCUCCUGCGGGAGGCAGCAGUGAAGAAUAUUGCACAGUGGGCGCAAGCCUGAUGCAGCGACGCCGCGUGGAGGAUGGAGGCCUUCGGGUUGUGAACCUCUUUCGCCAGUGAAGCAGGCCUGCCUCGUUUGUGGGUGGGUUGACGGUAGCUGGAUAAGAAGCGCCGGCUAACUACGUG
Molecule: ribosomal RNA, 494 nt
Filed under: uncultured bacterium
Lineage: Bacteria
Description: partial 16S ribosomal RNA
Rfam family: Bacterial small subunit ribosomal RNA
Source: RNAcentral